This 497-nucleotide ribosomal RNA is filed under the name uncultured bacterium. Its description in RNAcentral is "partial 16S ribosomal RNA". It matches the Rfam family "Bacterial small subunit ribosomal RNA", at positions 28 to 507 of the family's 1533-position model. The record is from RNAcentral.
GAUGAACGCUGGCGGCGUGCCUAAUACAUGCAAGUCGAGCGAACAGACGAGGAGCUUGCUCCUCUGACGUUAGCGGCGGACGGGUGAGUAACACGUGGAUAACCUACCUAUAAGACUGGGAUAACUUCGGGAAACCGGAGCUAAUACCGGAUAAUAUAUUGAACCGCAUGGUUCAAUAGUGAAAGACGGUUUUGCUGUCACUUAUAGAUGGAUCCGCGCCGCAUUAGCUAGUUGGUAAGGUAACGGCUUACCAAGGCAACGAUGCGUAGCCGACCUGAGAGGGUGGUCGGCCACACUGGAACUGAGACACGGUCCAGGCUCCUACGGGAGGCAGCAGUAGGGAAUCUUCCGCAAAGGGCGAAAGCCUGACGGAGCAACGCCGCGUGAGUGAUGAAGGUCUUCGGAUCGUAAAACUCUGUUAUUAGGGAAGAACAAAUGUGUAAGUAACUAUGCACGUCUUGACGGUACCUAAUCAGAAAGCCACGGCUAACUACGUG